Molecule: RNA transcript, 896 nt
Organism: Pantherophis guttatus
Lineage: Eukaryota; Metazoa; Chordata; Lepidosauria; Squamata; Colubridae
Gene: PAIP2
Gene name: poly(A) binding protein interacting protein 2
Source: RefSeq, a predicted model, not a curated record
UGUAUAGCAGGAUAAAUCAGGAAGAGACAUAGAGCUGCCAGAGGGAAGUCUGUAUUUAAACACAGCUCCCUUUGAUUGUUGCAAAUGGAGAGAGGAACAUGAUGAAAUUUCUAAGGCUUAAGCUCAAAGGCACAACCAUGAAAGAUCCAAGUCGUAGGAGUACUAGUCCAAGCAUUAUCAGUGAAGAUAUGAUCAUGAAUGGUCACUCUCAUGAAGAUGAUAAUCCAUUUGCAGAAUAUAUGUGGAUGGAAAAUGAAGAGGAAUUCAACAGGCAGAUUGAAGAGGAAUUGUGGGAAGAAGAAUUUAUAGAACGUUGCUUCCAAGAAAUGCUGGAAGAAGAGGAAGAGCACGAAUGGUUCAUUCCAGCAAGAGAUCUUCCGCAAACGAUGGAUCAAAUUCAAGACCAGUUUAAUGAUCUUGUUAUCAGUGACAGUUCGUCACUGGAAGAUCUGGUGUUUGAAGAACUAACCUCUUGGGAAUAAUAAGGACAUGGAGAAUUCAUUUCCAUUGUUCAUCUGUCAGUUUCCUUGAGGUUUUCAGUGAAGCUCAGAUCCCGUUGUAAGUCUGCAGGGUUACAAAUAGUUCUAAAGAUCACAUAAACUCUCCCUUACAAUAUAGUAGAUACAAUAUCAUAGUCUGAUGAUGUUCUCAUUUGGUCAAGAGUAAUCUGAAUCCCAAUGCAAAGGAGUUUGUUCCUGGGGUGAAGUACUAAAUAUAUGAGUAGACUGGGCCCUCUUUUGGUGGAUGUAGCACAAUUUCCACACUGUGAAGCCAGUAUUAGAAGAUUUAAUUGUUAAAACGCUCUCUCUUCUUGUCACUGUGUUACACUUACGCAUUGCCAAAGUUUUGUUAGUCUUGCAUGCUUAAUAAAAGUGCUGAGACUGUUAUUAAGUCAA